Molecule: ribosomal RNA, 497 nt
Filed under: uncultured bacterium
Lineage: Bacteria
Description: partial 16S ribosomal RNA
Rfam family: Bacterial small subunit ribosomal RNA
Source: RNAcentral
GAUGAACGCUGGCGGCGUGCCUAAUACAUGCAAGUCGAGCGAACAGAUAAGGAGCUUGCUCCUUUGACGUUAGCGGCGGACGGGUGAGUAACACGUGGGUAACCUACCUAUAAGACUGGGAUAACUUCGGGAAACCGGAGCUAAUACCGGAUAACAUUUGGAACCGCAUGGUUCUAAAGUGAAAGAUGGUUUUGCUAUCACUUAUAGAUGGACCCGCGCCGUAUUAGCUAGUUGGUAAGGUAACGGCUUACCAAGGCAACGAUACGUAGCCGACCUGAGAGGGUGUUCGGCCACACUGGAACUGAGACACGGUCCAGACUCCUACGGGAGGCAGCAGUAGGGAAUCUUCCGCAAUGGGCGAAAGCCUGACGGAGCAACGCCGCGUGAGUGAUGAAGGGUUUCGGCUCGUAAAACUCUGUUAUUAGGGAAGAACAAACGUGUAAGUAACUGUGCACGUCUUGACGGUACCUAAUCAGAAAGCCACGGCUAACUACGUG